UACGUAGGUGGCGAGCGUUGUCCGGAUUUACUGGGCGUAAAGGGAGCGUAGGCGGACUUUUAAGUGAGAUGUGAAAUACCCGGUCUCAACUUGGGUGCUGCAUUUCAAACUGGAAGUCUAGAGUGCAGGAGAGGAGAAUGGAAUUCCUAGUGUAGCGGUGAAAUGCGUAGAGAUUAGGAAGAACACCAGUGGCGAAGGCGAUUCUCUGGACUGUAACUGAUGCUGAGGCUCGAAAGCGUGGGGAGCAAACAGGAUUAGAUACCCCGGUA
RNAcentral lists this ribosomal RNA (269 nucleotides) under uncultured prokaryote. Its description in RNAcentral is "partial 16S ribosomal RNA". It matches the Rfam family "Bacterial small subunit ribosomal RNA", at positions 524 to 792 of the family's 1533-position model. The record is from RNAcentral.